UAGCCGUAAACGAUACUCGCUAGGUGUCGGCCACGGUGCGACCGUUGUCGGUGCCGUAGGGAAGCCGUGAAGCGAGCCACCUGGGAAGUACGGCCGCAAGGCUGAAACUUAAAGGAAUUGGCGGGGGAGCACCACAACGGGUGGAGCUUGCGGUUUAAUCGGACUCAACGCCGGGAAUCUCACCGGAUAAGACAGCUGAAUGAUAGUCGGGAUGAAGACUCUACUCGACUAGCUGAGAGGUGGUGCGAUGGCGUAGUCGUGU
Molecule: ribosomal RNA, 262 nt
Filed under: uncultured archaeon
Lineage: Archaea
Description: partial 16S ribosomal RNA
Rfam family: Archaeal small subunit ribosomal RNA
Source: RNAcentral